This 464-nucleotide ribosomal RNA is filed under the name uncultured bacterium. Its description in RNAcentral is "partial 16S ribosomal RNA". It matches the Rfam family "Bacterial small subunit ribosomal RNA", at positions 28 to 503 of the family's 1533-position model. The record is from RNAcentral.
GACGAACGCUGGCGGCGUGCUUAACACAUGCAAGUCGAACGGAAAGGCCCUGCUUUUGUGGGGUGCUCGAGUGGCGAACGGGUGAGUAACACGUGAGUAACCUGCCCUUGACUUUGGGAUAACUUCAGGAAACUGGGGCUAAUACCGGAUAGGAGCUCCUGCUGCAUGGUGGGGGUUGGAAAGUUUCGGCGGUUGGGGAUGGACUCGCGGCUUAUCAGCUUGUUGGUGGGGUAGUGGCUUACCAAGGCUUUGACGGGUAGCCGGCCUGAGAGGGUGACCGGCCACAUUGGGACUGAGAUACGGCCCAGACCCCUACGGGAGGCAGCAGUGGGGAAUAUUGCACAAUGGGCGGAAGCCUGAUGCAGCAACGCCGCGUGCGGGAGGACGGCCUUCGGGUUGUAAACCGCUUUCGCCUGUGACGAAGCGUGAGUGACGGUAAUGGGUAAAGAAGCACCGGCUAACUA